Molecule: ribosomal RNA, 326 nt
Filed under: uncultured eukaryote
Lineage: Eukaryota
Description: partial 18S ribosomal RNA
Rfam family: Eukaryotic small subunit ribosomal RNA
Source: RNAcentral
CCCUUAGAUGUUCUGGGCCGCACGCGCGCUACACUGAUGCAUUCAACAAGCCUAGCCUUGACCGAGAGGUCCGGGUAAUCUGUGAAACUGCAUCGUGAUGGGGCUAGAUUAUUGCAAUUAUUAAUCUUCAACGAGGAAUGCCUAGUAAGCGUGAUUCAUCAAAUCGCGUUGAUUACGUCCCUGCCCUUUGUACACACCGCCCGUCGCUCCUACCGAUUGAAUGUGUUGGUGAGGAGCUCGGAUUGGCAGCAGUUGGUGGUUCGCCACCGGCUAUUGCUGAGAAGUCCUCCAAACCGCCCCAUUUAGAGGAAGGAGAAGUCGUAACA